AGCGAAUGGAUUAAGAGCUUGCUCUUAUGAAGUUAGCGGCGGACGGGUGAACUAACACGUGGGUAACCUGCCCAUAAGACUGGGAUAACUCCGGGAAACCGGGGCUAAUACCGGAUAACAUUUUGAACCGCAUGGUUCGAAAUUGAAAGGCGGCUUCGGCUGUCACUUAUGGAUGGACCCGCGUCGCAUUAGCUAGUUGGUGAGGUAACGGCUCACCAAGGCAACGAUGCGUAGCCGACCUGAGAGGGUGAUCGGCCACACUGGGACUGCAGACACGGCCCAGACUCCUACGGGAGGCGAGCAGUAGGGCAAUCUUCCGCAAUGGACGAAAGUCUGACGGAGCCAACGCCGCGUGAGUGAUGAAGGCUUUCGGGUUCGUAAAAACUCUGUUGUUAGGGGAAGAACAAGUGCUAGUUGAAUAAGCCUGGCACCCUUGACCGUUACCUAAACCAGAAAAGCCACGGGAUAAACUAACGAUGCCCAGCCAAGCCCGCCGGGUUAAAUAACG
This 508-nucleotide ribosomal RNA is filed under the name Bacillus licheniformis. RNAcentral describes it as "bacterial SSU rRNA". It matches the Rfam family "Bacterial small subunit ribosomal RNA", at positions 65 to 530 of the family's 1533-position model. Lineage: Bacteria; Bacillati; Bacillota; Bacilli; Caryophanales; Bacillaceae. The record is from RNAcentral.